This 450-nucleotide ribosomal RNA is filed under the name uncultured Glomeromycotina. Its description in RNAcentral is "SSU rRNA". It matches the Rfam family "Eukaryotic small subunit ribosomal RNA", at positions 569 to 1024 of the family's 1831-position model. Lineage: Eukaryota; Fungi; Glomeromycota. The record is from RNAcentral.
AGCAGCCGCGGUAAUUCCAGCUCCAAUAGCGUAUAUUAAAGUUGUUGCAGUUAAAAAGCUCGUAGUUGAAUUUCGGGGUUAGUAGGUUGGUCAUGCCUCUGGUAUGUACUGAUCUCACUGAUUCCUCCUUCCUUAUGAACCGUAAUGCCAUUAAUUUGGUGUUGCGGGGAAUUUGGACUGUUACUUUGAAAAAUUAGAGUGUUUAAAGCAGGCUAACGCUUGAAUACAUUAGCAUGGAAUAAUGAAAUAGGACGUUCGAUCUUAUUUUGUUGGUUUCUAGGAUUGACGUAAUGAUUAAUAGGGAUAGUUGGGGGCAUUAGUAUUCAAUUGUCAGAGGUGAAAUUCUUGGAUUUAUUGAAGACUAACUACUGCGAAAGCAUUUGCCAAGGAUGUUUUCAUUAAUCAAGAACGAAAGUUAGGGGAUCGAAGACGAUCAGAUACCGUCGUAGU